Amphiprion ocellaris (clown anemonefish) is the source of this 1602-nucleotide long non-coding RNA. RefSeq lists it as uncharacterized. Lineage: Eukaryota; Metazoa; Chordata; Actinopteri; Pomacentridae. The transcript is spliced from 3 exons. The record is from RefSeq and is a predicted model, not a curated record.
UAAACAGCAAGAUCUGGGGUCUGUUUCACAAGGUAGGUUAGGUGAAAACUCUGAGUCUGUUAACCCUGAAAUGAGGGAAACUCAGAGUUUUCCGUUUCACAAAGAGAGGUAACUCAAACCCGAGACAGAGGGGUAACUCUAGCCUGUUUCACAAAGAGAGGUAACUUAAACUCUCGGUCAGUUAUCGUAGUAACAGACUCUAUGACUCUAACCUGGUCAGGACCAGGUUUUUCUCAGUAAACCUCGAGUUUCUGUCUCCACCCUCUUUCAGCCACAUGCUAUUUGAUUUCCUCAUUCAUUCAUGCAGUCAGCUGGCGAGUUUUGGCGUAGUCUAGUUCUGCCGUCUGUCAAAAUGUCCUUUCAUUAAUGAUCCAGUGGAUGAAGGAGCAGCAUUACUGUGCAGAGAAUUAAAUAUUCAUCAGGAGAUUGUUAUCAGACCAUGCAUAGAUGUUCUCGUACUUCCGGACAGUUUUCUUUUAGAGCGGUACCGUUUCACGUCACAGUCCAUAAUCUACAUCCAACCUAAUCUGUCCUUACAUUUACAACAUUACCAACCACAGUCAUGCUCUGACAUCCCAGCAGAUGUUGUGUGUUGCGCUGCGGUUCUUUGCAAAUGGAAGUUUUUUUAUAUAAUGUCGGAGAUGCAGAGCACUUCAGUAAGACAACUGUAUGCAGGACAGUCAGAAAAGUGUGUCUGGCCCUGAAACGACUUUUAUCAUCUUUUUGGUUUUCCCUGGAAAUAAACCUGUCAGAGUCAUCAAGGAGGAGUUCCACAGGAUUGCAGGUGAAUGAUGAAGAGAUCUGUUCAAUUCAUUUUAAAUCAUAUCCAGUUAAUGACAUUGUGCUGCAACCUCAGACUGGGAUUAGUAAUUUUAAUUUCUUUUAGGAUUUCUCAGUGUGAUUGGCUGCAUUGAUGGCACACACAUCCCCAUCACAGCUCCCUCACAUAAUGAAGCUGAUUAUGUGAACAGGAAGUCCAUUCACAGCAUAAAUGUGCAGAUCAUAUGUGAUGCUGCAUACAUCAUUUCUAAUGUGUAGGCCAAGUGGCCUGGAUCUGUUCAUGACUGGAGGAUUUAUCAUGAGUCUAACCUGAGCAACAGACUGCAGCGUGGUGAGUUUGAUGGCCUUCUGCUGGGUGACAGGGGUUACCAUGCCAACCUAGGCUGAUCACCCCAUACCCAUUCAGAAAUCCUAAAAUGCUUGCAUUUUGAUUAUGGGUUGUCUGGAUUGUGUUAGACUGGUUUGCAUCCUAUUUUACUGACAGAACCUUCAGAGUUGCAGGGUAUGAUGUCUGAUUCUCAUGUGUUGUCAUGUGGUGUACCUCAGGGUUCUGUGCUAGGACCCAUUCUGUUCAUGUUAUGUGUGUCUCCACUUGGAAAGCUUAUAACUUCCUUUAAAAAUAUGUCUUAUACUUUGUUGACUGUGGAAUAUUUAGGAGCGAGGAAAUGUCACGACUGGAUUUGUUGCACAGGUGGCAUCCCUUCACAGUUCCACGCUGGAAUUCACUGAGCUCCUGAGAGCGAGCCAUUCUUUCACAAAUGUUUGUAAAAGCAGUCUGCAUGCCUAGGUGCUUGAUUUUAUACACCUGUGGCCAUGGAAGUG